This 253-nucleotide ribosomal RNA is filed under the name uncultured bacterium. RNAcentral's name for it is "partial 16S ribosomal RNA". It matches the Rfam family "Bacterial small subunit ribosomal RNA", at positions 524 to 776 of the family's 1533-position model. The record is from RNAcentral.
UACGAAGGGGGAUAGCGUUGGUCGGAAUUACUGGGCGUAUCGCGCACGUAGGCGGACUCUUAAGUCAGGGGUGAAGUCGCGGGGCUCAACCUCGGUACUGCCUUUGAUACUGUGAGUCUCGAGACCGGAAGAGGUGAGUGGAAUUCCUAGUGUAGAGGUGAAAUUCGUAGAUAUUAGGAAGAACACCAGUGGCGAAGGCGGCUCACUGUCCCGUUUCUCACGCUGAUGUGCGAAAGCGUGUUGAGCAAACAGG